UACGGAGGGUGCAAGCGUUAUCCGGAUUCACUGGGUUUAAAGGGUGCGUAGGUGGGCUGGUAAGUCAGUGGUGAAAUCUCCGAGCUUAACUUGGAAACUGCCAUUGAUACUAUCAGUCUUGAGUACCGUGGAGGUUAGCGGAAUAUGUCAUGUAGCGGUGAAAUGCUUAGAUAUGACAUAGAACAUCAAUUGCGAAGGCAGCUGGCUACACGAAUAUUGACACUGAGGCACGAAAGCGUGGGGAUCAAACAGG
RNAcentral lists this ribosomal RNA (253 nucleotides) under uncultured bacterium. RNAcentral's name for it is "partial 16S ribosomal RNA". It matches the Rfam family "Bacterial small subunit ribosomal RNA", at positions 524 to 776 of the family's 1533-position model. The record is from RNAcentral.